Cucurbita maxima (winter squash) is the source of this 220-nucleotide long non-coding RNA. RefSeq lists it as uncharacterized. NCBI's taxonomy places the organism in Eukaryota, Viridiplantae, Streptophyta, Magnoliopsida, Cucurbitales, Cucurbitaceae. The transcript is spliced from 2 exons. The record is from RefSeq and is a predicted model, not a curated record.
UUAGGUAUGUUAAUCUAGAGUGGUCUGCUAUCAUAUUCCAUGAAGUAAGUCUUGAUCGAUUUAGAUCGGAAAUAGGAGUUCCCACUUUCACCAAAGGAUAGAUGAGAGGUAGAAGACGAACAGUGGAGGGACGCAUGUAAGGAAAGUAGAGGGCCGCGCGUCGCCGGAAAGAUGGGACACGUGUCCGGCGUGGAAUGGCGGAGGAAAAUCACAAAAAAAA